Molecule: ribosomal RNA, 461 nt
Filed under: uncultured bacterium
Lineage: Bacteria
Description: partial 16S ribosomal RNA
Rfam family: Bacterial small subunit ribosomal RNA
Source: RNAcentral
CCUACGGGUGGCAGCAGUGAGGAAUAUUGGUCAAUGGGCGCGAGCCUGAACCAGCCAAGUAGCGUGAAGGAUGACUGCCCUACGGGUUGUAAACUUCUUUUAUAAAGGAAUAAAGUGAGGCACGUGUGCCUUUUUGUAUGUACUUUAUGAAUAAGGAUCGGCUAACUCCGUGCCAGCAGCCCCGGUAAUACGGGGGAUGCAAGCGUUAUCCGGAUUUAUUGGGUUUAAAGGGUGCGUAGGCUGUGAGGUAAGUCAGCGGUGAAAUGCCCCCGCUCAACGGGGUGAAGUGCCAUUGAUACUGGCUUGCUGGAAUGCGGAUGCGGUGGGAGGAAUGUGUGGUGUAGCGGUGAAAUGCAUAGAUAUCACACAGAACACCGAUUGCGAAGGCAUCUUACGAAUCCGCGAUUGACGCUGAUGCACGAAAGCGUGGGUAUCAAACAGGAUUAGAUACCCUGGUAGUC